RNAcentral lists this ribosomal RNA (368 nucleotides) under Staphylococcus aureus. RNAcentral describes it as "bacterial SSU rRNA". It matches the Rfam family "Bacterial small subunit ribosomal RNA", at positions 1167 to 1533 of the family's 1533-position model. Lineage: Bacteria; Bacillati; Bacillota; Bacilli; Caryophanales; Staphylococcaceae. The record is from RNAcentral.
AGGAAGGUGGGGAUGACGUCAAAUCAUCAUGCCCCUUAUGAUUUGGGCUACACACGUGCUACAAUGGACAAUACAAAGGGCAGCGAAACCGUGAGGUCAAGCAAAUCCCAUAAAGUUGUUCUCAGUUCGGAUUGUAGUCUGCAACUCGACUACAUGAAGCUGGAAUCGCUAGUAAUCGUAGAUCAUCAUGCUACGGUGAAUACGUUCCCGGGUCUUGUACACACCGCCCGUCACACCACGAGAGUUUGUAACACCCGAAGCCGGUGGAGUAACCUUUUAGGAGCUAGCCGUCGAAGGUGGGACAAAUGAUUGGGGUGAAGUCGUAACAAGGUAGCCGUAUCGGAAGGUGCGGCUGGAUCACCUCCUUU